This 891-nucleotide long non-coding RNA is filed under the name Homo sapiens (human). RNAcentral describes it as "non-protein coding MIR205HG:23". The record is from RNAcentral. Lineage: Eukaryota; Metazoa; Chordata; Mammalia; Primates; Hominidae.
CUUGAAAUGGGCUGAGUCCCUCUUGCUCACCCUUGACUUGGAAAAACCAGUUUCUCUUUUAUUGUCUGUUACUAAUCUCUAUUCUAAAAAUUCAGCUCAAUUCUCAACCAUACUCCAAACUCUCUCUUUUCCAGCUACCUUUACUCCCUCUCCUUCAAUUCCACUUUCCUCUGCUUACUUUUUUUUUUUUUCUGACAGGGUCUCACUUUGUCGCCCGGGCAGGAGUGCAGUGGCUCAAUCUUGGGCUCACUGCAGCCUCAACCUCCCAGAGGCGGGGUUUCACCAUGUUGCCCAGACUGGUCUUGAACUCCUGAGCUUAAGCAAUCCACCUGCCUCGGCCUCCCAAAGUGUUGGGAUCACAGGCGUGAGCCACCGCAUCCGGCCUCAUGUUCUUUUUCAUUAAAGAGAGAAAUCAACUAUUCAGGACCGGCCCCCACCUUUCCUCAGGAGUCAUUUCUGUUCCGCACAGGCCUGCUGAACUGGGUGCUUUAUAUAGGACACUGUCAUCUCUCAAGUACCCAUCUUGGAGGGUACGGACCCCACAUGAGGAUUUCAGUGGAGUGAAGUUCAGGAGGCAUGGAGCUGACAACCAUGAGGCCUCGGCAGCCACCGCCACCACCGCCGCCGCCACCACCGUAGCAGCAGCAGCAGCAGCAGCAGCAGCAGCAGCAGCAGCAAGAGUAACUCUGACUUAGGAAUAGAGACAGCCAGAGAGAAAUGUGAUCAAUGAAGGAGACAUCUGGAGUGUGCGUGCUUCUUCAGAGGGACGGGUGAUGGGCAGAUUGGAAAAAGCACCGCAGAUGGGAACCUUAAUCUUUCUUUUCUAAAAUUGAUGCUAUGAAAAUUUGCGUUUUCUGUAACUUGUAAAAACUAAAAGUUGCUUGUCUACUG